CCCUAUCUACUGCUCUGGUAAGUCACUCUUCUUUGUCGUUCCUCACUCCUUUCCGCUGCGGUGAGUUCGAUCGGCCGGCGUGAGCAAUUCGCCCUGUUGAUCGGAGACUCGUCGAGCCUCGAUCAGCAAGACGGCGACAACCAUUUCGACCUUCAUCUUCUACAUCAUCUCCCCACGCCACGGCGUGAAGGCGUCGACUGCCACCACGUCCUCCACAUUCGACAUCGUCGCUGGGCAGAGUAAAUUGGUUCUCUUUUGACUUCAGAGUGGUAAACAUUUACCCUCCACUGGUUUUCUUCCUCUUCGUGGACGCUAGGUUACUUCAUGAUAUUGAUCGUUCCUUUCGUUUAUGGGAAAAAGGCAAGCCUUUUCUUUAGGAUGUGCACGUGAGCCCAAUUUAUUGCACAAUCUAACUCAUUUAGCAAUCAAUUCUAACUUGUUAUGUUUGCUAGAGAUCUGGAUGUACUAGAUUGUAGCGUAAAGAACGUUAAGUUGUGCUAGUGCAGUGAGAUUACCAUUUAUUAUUCAUUGUACUAAAAGAGCAAUAGGAUAUAUUCUGCAGCGUGUGUUGGGGUUAGGGUUACUUUAGCACCUUUUGUUGGUAUCUGCACUAUUCAAUGAUCACCCGUAGGAUUAUUUCCAACAGGAGAGAUUUUCAAAUCAAUAUGAAGUAAUUCACUCAACACAAGAAAUAGAAGAAUCACACAAAGCAAAAAAUGAAUAUAAAUGAACUGAUAUAAGAAGUUUUAGUUUUUUUUUGAAAAAUGAACAGAAUGUUUAUAUUAAAGAAUGGAUAAAAAAUAACUGAUAAGAAUUUUUCUUUUUGUUUAGUAAACUGAAUUCCACAAAAUGUCAUCUACUCAGAAAUCACACACACAAAAAAUCUGAAUCUCAUAGCAGAAAAAAAAAAUGGCCUUAAGAAAUGAUAACCAUUUUAAAUAUAAAGAAAGUCAUAGCCAUAUUAUGUAGAACGAUUGUCUGAAUUGAAAUUUUUUUCUUCUGAUUUUUUAUUUUCUUCAUCUCGUUAAAAAUGACCUUUUGGACGAGGUUUACAAACAAAAGGGAUGAUCGAGAUGCACGAGGCAGAAAAAUUAUGUCAUUGAAUGCUUCAAUGCAAUAAAGGUGAACUGAAUAUUGAUUUGUAAAGAUUUUGAACACUGUAAGCAGGAACAUCAACAGAAAAUGACAUCCUUCUCACAUUCAUGGCUUUUUCAAGCAGAUCAGUUUGUCAGGAGGUUGAGAUCUGAUGAUUGUGGUGUGUACGGGAAACUAUGUCGUAGAAAGUUCCACGUAUAUCAAAAACAAUUUGUGGGGGUAUGCACUUCAAGUAAGCAAAGUGUUUACAUUGGAUCAAAUCGAGGCCUUCAGAAACAGGGCAAAACCUUUUAUACAGUUAACUGUACCAAGGAGAGGGAUUUUGACCCUUCAUCAAUUGAACCACCUCCAUACUCUAGUUACAUGGAUUCAACUUCUGGUCAGCUUGAACCAGCAUCUGGUGCUAGAGCAAGUAUACCUGGAAGAGAGUAUUGGCCUGAAGGAACAGCUAGUCGGGUUGCUGCUGCCAGAGCUCCUGAGCCUGUUGGCAAGUCUGAUGGGAAACCUUCAUAUGGUAGAAGUCCUGGAAGCCGGAGGAGGAAGUACAAGGGGCAGGCAACUACUUCUGAAGUUACAGAAACUAAUGGAGAUAUGAGCAACCAACCUGUUCUUGUUACUUCAGAAUCAGAUGAUAACGCUGAUGGGCCUAUAGACCCAUCUGAUGAAUAUGUUAUAUAUCAGACAGAACCUGAACCUGAGGAAGAGAACAUGAGCCAAUAUGAGUUAGACAAAGCAAUGGGGCGGCCACAUCCAUUCAUAGAUCCAGCUAUUAAUAAGCCCAUAGAAGAGCCUCAUUCAAGUGAAGAUCUUUGGUGGAAUUGGCGCAAACCAGAAAAGGAGCAGUGGUCAAGAUGGCAAAGGCGGCGCCCAGAUGUUGACACGGUUUUUGCAAAGGCAAUGGCAGAAACUGGACAAAUAAAAUUGUUUGGUGACUACCCAACAAAAACUGAAGCUGCUCUUGCAAGAGCAAGAAGACAUAUCUUCAAGGAGGAAAGGCUUCAGGAAGAGCAGAGGAGAUUGGAGGAGGUUGGGCCAAUAGCAUAUUAUUCAGAGUGGGUCAAAUCAUGGGAUCGGGAUACUUCGCGAGAGGCUAUACAGAGACACUAUGAAGAAACUGGCGAGGAUGAGUUCACUCAACUCAUAACAAUGUUUGAACAUCAAACUGCUGAGGAGUACCGCAUCAUGAUGGGAACCGACAUACGAAUUAAGCGGGAUCCUUUAGCAAUGCGAAUGCGGGAGGAUCUAAUCAAAGAGAUAUGGGGUGGUGAUCCUGUUUAUCCAACCAUCAAUUAUAUUCAAGACCCUAAUGAAGUAAUUGAUUUUAGGGGGCCAGAUUUUCAUGAACCUACACCAAAUAUGUUGUCUUAUCUGAUGGAGCAUGGCAAAAUCAUAUCAAGGGAAGAUCUUGAGAAAAUUUUGGCGAAUGAGAAACAACAAGAGCUAGAGAUCACUGACAUGGAUGAAGCUUUGGCAAGUGCUGUUGACAUUGGGGAUGAUGAUGAUGAUGAUGAUGAUGAUGACGACGACGACGAUGAAGAAAGUGAGGGAGAAGAAGACAAAGAAGAUGAUGAAGUCGAGGAGGAAAUUACACGCAACUGGAGUGUUCUGAAGUCUACCCCUCAGCUACGUAAAUCCAAGGUGAAAUACCGGUAGAGAGGAAUUUGAAUUCCUCUUCUCAAACGAGAUUUAUCUCCAAAUCUCUACCAAACUCGGGAGAUGAGUUACCAUAGUAGGGGAUUGGAGAUUUUAUCUUGAUUUGCCCAUGAGCUUGGAAGGAUCUCGGGAGUGGUCAGCGAACACUCAAGAAUGUCGUAAGUAGGUGGUGUUAAGGUAAGGUUUGCGCGAGGGGUGUUGAGGUAGGGUUCAGCUGGCAAUGUCAUGGCGAAUGGAGCUAACCUUGUAGGAGACAAGGAUACCCUCAUCUGUUUUACACUCUUGUAUGCUCUCUCCCUUCAGGCAUGGUCAAUAAAGAUGAGGCAAACGAAUUACUCUGAAACUCUCUUCCCCCAUCCUCUCUUCUCUUCCACCUUGCAUGGAUAAACAUGUUCUAAAGCCUCUGGACAUAAAAGGAGAAGCUUUGCAAUAGAUUAGAUAAUGGCAUGGUUUCUUCUUAGGUUUUGCUCAAAGAUUUCAUUUUCUUCUUAGUUUUUUUUUCCCUUGUAACUUAUUAUUCUUUUUUUUUUCUGAUUACCAAAGAAGGAAAAGCCAAA
Zingiber officinale is the source of this 3305-nucleotide RNA transcript. It is a transcript of the gene named protein PLASTID TRANSCRIPTIONALLY ACTIVE 12, chloroplastic-like, with no coding region annotated. NCBI's taxonomy places the organism in Eukaryota, Viridiplantae, Streptophyta, Magnoliopsida, Zingiberales, Zingiberaceae. The record is from RefSeq and is a predicted model, not a curated record. The transcript has 12 exons.